CUACUUUUAUUGGUUGUGGUGCUGAUUUGCAUAAAAUAGGUUGCCGGAAUUGGGUAAAGAGACACCAAUCACUUGCAAGAAACACACCACUGGAUAUGCAUUUUUUCCUGAUUUCCCACCUCAGACCGAACCCAGUUGCAGACAAAGUGGCUUGAAAGGACCUCAACUACUCAUAGUAAAAUCAUGGUUUAAUCAAUCAACCAGAAACUAUACACUUCUUGGAUUCCCGUUUAACAACCAUAUGUAUUUGGAGAAAUUAGGACAAGCGACUCCCUGGAGGGCUCUGAAAUCAUGUCAGUCAGCGUCCACGAAAACCGUAAGUCCCGGACCAGCACGGGCUCCAUGAACAUCUCUCUGUUCCAUAAGCCCUCGCAUCCAGACAGCGUGCUCACCCACCUCAACACCCUCCGCAAGCAGUGCAUGUUCACUGACGUGACGCUGUGGGCGGGGGACCGCUCCUUCCCCUGCCAUCGGGCGGUACUGGCCGCAUGCAGCCGCUACUUUGAGGCGAUGUUCAGCGGCGGGCUCCGUGAGAGCCUGGACAACGAGGUGAACUUCAGAGACAGUGUGCAUCCAGAGGUGUUGGAGCUGCUGCUGGACUUUGCCUACUCGUCACGUGUCAUCAUCAACGAGAAGAACGCAGAGUCGUUGCUGGAGGCGGGAGACAUGCUGCAGUUCCACGACAUCCGAGACGCUGCUGCGGCGUUUCUGGAGAAGAACCUGCACUUGUCCAACUGCCUGGGUAUGAUGCUACUGUCUGAUGCCCACCAGUGCAAACAGCUGUAUGAGCUCUCCUGGAGGAUGUGCCUGGUGCACUUUGAGGCGUUGCGGGACACAGAGGACUUCUACGGCCUCAACAAAGACAAGCUGCUGGACCUGAUCCUCAGCGACGAGCUGGAGAUCGAGGACGAGCAUAUCGUGUUCAACUCUGUGAUGCGCUGGGUACGCUACGACCUGGACGGCCGCAGAGACUACCUCCCUGAGCUGCUGGGUGGAAUCCGCCUGGCCCUGCUACCCUCUGAGUGUCUGAUCGAGGCGGUGGCCUGCGAGGAGCUGGUGAUGUCAGACAAGAGGAGCCGGCAGAUAGUGGAGGAGGCCAUGCAGUGCAAGAAGAUCCUGCAAAACGAUGGGGUGGUCACCAGCCCCUGUGCCCGGCCCCGCAAGGCAGGCCACACACUGCUCAUCUUGGGAGGACAGACCUUCAUGUGUGAUAAGAUCUACCAGGUGGACCACAAAGCCAAGGAGAUCAUUCCUAAGUCGGACUUGCCCAGUCCCAGGAAGGAGUUCAGCGCCUGUGCAAUUGGCUGUAAGGUCUACGUGACUGGGGGGAGGGGUUCUGAGAACGGGGUGUCCAAGGAUGUUUGGAUCUAUGACACGGUCCACGAGGAGUGGUCUAAAGGAGCUCCCAUGUUGAUAGCACGGUUUGGCCAUGGUUCGGCUGAACUGGAGAACUGGCUGUAUGUGGUGGGUGGCCACACUGCCAUAGCAGGCAUCUUCCCUGCCUCCCCCUCAGUCUCCCUCAAACAGGUAGAGCGGUAUGACCCACUCACCAACAAAUGGACCAUGAUGGCGCCGCUCAGAGAUGGUGUUAGCAAUGCAGCUGUGGUCAGCGCCAAGCUAAAGCUGUUUGUUUUUGGUGGCACCACCAUACACAGAGACAAGGCCUCCAAGGUGCAGUGCUACGACCCUCUAGAGAACCGCUGGGCCAUCGCAGCAGAAUGUCCACAACCGUGGAGAUAUACAGCCGCUGCUGUUCUGGGCAGCCAGAUCUUCAUAAUGGGCGGAGACACGGAGUUCACCGCCGCCUCCGCCUACCGCUUUGACUGUGAGACCAACCAGUGGUCUCGUGUUGGGGACAUGACUUCUAAAAGAAUGAGCUGCCAUGCGGUGGCCUCUGGGAACAAACUGUACGUUGUGGGGGGCUACUUUGGGACGCAGCGCUGCAAGACUCUAGACUGUUAUGACCCCACGUCUGAUAGCUGGAACAGUAUAACCACAGUGCCUUACUCACUAAUUCCCACUGCGUUCGUAAGCACCUGGAAACAUCUACCUGCCUAGCAGCCUUGACGUGAACAAGGAGUGGUCUCCAGAACUGGAUGCUAAAGGUCAGUGGGAUAAAGUUGUGAUGGACAAACUUCUGGAUGACGAUCGUGCCAUGCAAUGCUGACUCUCUCUGAAAAUAACACGUUUUGAAAUCGGUGGAACACAACCGGCCAAACAAGCUGUGCGAGCUAAACGGAAACACAGGGGUUGUAGUCUGCCAUGAAGCUUUCAUCCAUUUAUACAGGGACUAAAGAGGGCACCUGAUUUGGCAUUUCACACAUUUGCUUAGCAGGAGGAAACAGUCAUGCUUGACUCGUUUGGAGGUUGAAGGAGAUCCCACCCUGACACCUGGCCAGAUGUAAAGAACUUGAACCUCCCCAGCCACCAGGACAAUCACCAUAUCCCAGGAUUUUUUUCAGGGGGGUGUGCAACAUCACAAUGUUAGAUACUUACUUACUGCACUGUUGGAGCUAGAAGCAUAAGCAUUUCGCUUCACCAGCUAUAACAUCUGCUAAUCUGUGACCAAUAAACUUUUAUUUGAUAUAGAAAUAGAUUCAUCCAUGUUAUUUAUCAUGCAGAUUGUUCAGGUCAUUGUAAUUUAUGACGCUCAUUCUAAAAUACAGAUUUGACUUCUGGGGAAUUGCACUGUGUGCAAGUCUUACAUUUAGACCAUAAUUAGUUGAUUGAGGUGUGGUGAAGGGCUGGAACAAAAACCUGUAAACUCCUAUGUAUAAAAACAUUUUAAAAACCUGUGGAUGUCAUGACAAAAUUUGCCCUCAUCUACUGAACAAGAUUAUGAAUGUUGGAGGUUAAUCUCAGUGAUGUCCCUCACUGGGGAAUGACUUAUACUGUGCUCAAAAUGUGAGAGAAAUACGAUUUUUGUGCGUAUGGAAAAUUUCUGGGAUCUUUUAUUGCAACUCAUGAAACAUGGGACCAACACUUUACAUGUUGUGUUUUAUAUUUUUAAGUGUACAUUUUUGCAAUUGUAUUAAAAAACAAACCUUAUACAUUUUUAAAAAAUAAACAGAAAUACCGUAUUUACAAAGUAUUCACACCCGUUGCUAUGACACUCGAAAUUGAGCUCAGGUGCAUCCUGUUUCUAUUGAUCAUCUUUGAUGUUUCUACAACUUGGAGUCUACCUGUGAUUAAUUGAAUUGAUUGGAAAUGAUUUGGAAAGGCACACACCUGUAUGUAAGGUCCCACAGUUGACAGUGCAUGUCAGCGCAAAAACCAAGCCAUGAGGUUGAAGGAAUUGUCCUUAGAGCUCAGAGACAGGAUUGUGUCGAGGCACAGAUCUGGGGAGGGGUACCAAAAUGUGCCUGCAGAAUUGAAGGUCCCCAAGAACACAGUGGCCUCCAUUCUUAAAUGGAAUAAGUUUGGAACCACCAAGACUCUUCCUAGAGUUGUCCGCCUGGCCAAACUGAGCAGUUGGGGGAGAAGGGUCUUGGUCAGGGAGGUGACCAAGAACCCAAUGGUCACUGACAGAGCGCCAGAGAUCCUCUGUGGAGAUGGGAGAACCUUCCAGAAGGACAACCAUCUCUGCAGCACUCCACCAAAGUCAGGCCUUUAUGGUAGAGUGGCCAGACGGAAGCCACUCUUCAGUAAAAGGCACGACAGCCCGCUUGGAGUUUGCCAAUAGGCACCUAAAGACUCUCAGACCAUGAGAAACAAGAUUCUCUGCUCUGAUGAAACCAAGAUUAAACUCUUUGGCCUGAAUGCCAAGCGGCACGUCUGAAAGAAACAUGGCACCAUCCCUACGGUGAAGCAUGGUGGUGGCAGCAUCAUGCUUUGGGGAUGUUUUCAAAUCAAAUUUUAUUUGUCACGUGCUGAAUACAACAGAUGUAGACCUUACAGUGAAAUGCUUAUGUACAAGCCCUUAGCCAACAAUGCAGUGAAGAAUAUACCUUAAAAAAGGUAAAUAAUUAAAGAGCAGCAGUAAAAUAACAAUAGCGAGGCUAUAUACAGGGGGCACCGGUACAGAGUCAAUGUGCGGUUAGUUGAGGUAAUAUGUACAUGUAGGUAGAGUUAUUAAAGUGACUAUGCAUAGAUAAUAACAGAGUAGCAGCAGUGUAGAAGGAGGGGAGGGGGGGGGGUGCAAAAAGUCUGUAGCCAUUUUAUUAGAUGUUCAGGAGUCUAAUGGCAUGGGGGUAGAAGCUGUUUAGAAGCCCUUGAACCUAGACCUAGCUGUGCGGUAGCAGAGAGAACAGUCAAUGACUAGGGUGGCUGGAGUCUUUGACAAUUUGUAGGGCCUUCCUCUGACACCACCUGGUCUAGAGGUCCUGGGUGGCAGGAAGCUUGGCCCCGGUGAUGUACUGGGCUGUGCGCACUACAGUCUGUAGUGCCUUGCGUUCAGAGGCCUGGGACUGAGAGACUAGUCAGGAUCGAGGCAAAGAUGAACGGAGCAAAGUACAGAGAGAUCCUUGAUGAAAACCUGUUCCAGAGCACUCAGACUUGGGUGAAGGUUCACCUUCCAACAGGACAACGACCCUAAGAACACAGCCAAGACAAUGCAGGAGUGGCUUUGAGACAAGUCUGAAUGUCCUUGAGUGGCCCAGCCAGAGCCCGGACUUGAACCUCGAAAAUCUCUGAAGAGACCUGAAAAUAGCUGUGCAGCAACGCUCCCCAUCCAACCUGACAGCGCUUCUUUAUCUGCAGAGGAGAAUGGGAGAAACUCCCCAAAUACAGGUGUGCCAAGCUUAUAGUGUCAUACCCAAGACGACUCUAGGCUGUAAUCGCUGCCAAAGGUCCUUCAACAAAGUACUGAAUAAAGGGUCUGAAUACCUAUGUAAAUCUGAUAUUUCCAAAAAUGUCUAAACCUGUUUUUGCUUUGUCGCUAUGGGGUAUUGUGUGUAGAUUGAAGUGGGAAAAACAUUUUAAUCCGUUUUAAAGUUUGGACACACCUACUCAUUCAAGGGUUUUUCUUUAUUUUUACUAUUUUCUACAUUGUAGUAACCAAAAAAGUGUUAAACAAAUCAAUAUAUUUUGUAUUUGAAAUUCUUCAAAGUAGCCACCCUUUGCCUUGACAGCUUUGCACACUCUUGGCAUUCUCUUAAUCAGCUUGGCCUGGAAUGCUUUUCAAACAGUCUUGAAGGACUUCCCACAUAUGCUGAGCAGUUGUUGGUUGCUUUUCCUUCACUCUGCGGUCCAAUUCUUCACAAACCAUCUCAAUUGGGUUGAGGUUGGGUGAUUGUGGAGGCCAGGACAAUGACCCAACACACCUCCAGGCUGUGUAAGGGCUAUUUGACCAAGAAGGAGAGUGAUGGAGUGCUGCAUCAAAUUACCUGUUGAAAAACAAAUAAUAGUGCCGCUGACCGCAAACCAGAUGGGAUGGCGGAUCGCUACAGAAUGCUGUGGUAGCCAUCCUGGUUAAGUGUGCCUUGAAUUCUAAAUCAAUCACAGACAGUGUCACCAGCAAAGCACCAUCACACCUCCUGCUUCACGGUGGGAACCACACAUGCGGAGAUCAUCCGUUCACCUACUUUGCAUCUUACAAAGACACAGCGGUUGGAACCAGCAGGUAUAUUUCACUUGUCAUCCCCAAAGCCAACUCCUCCUUUGGCCGCCUUUCCUUACAGUUCUCUGCUGCCAGUGACUGGAACGAAUUGCAAAAAUCACUGAAGCUGGAGUCUUAUAUCUCUCUCACUAUCUUUAAGCAUCAGCUGUCAGCAGCUUACCGAUUAUUGCACCUGUACACAGCCCUUCUGUAAAUAGACUACCCAACUACCUCCUCCCCAUAUUAUUAUUUUUUUGCUAAUUUCCACACCAUUAUCGCUGCUUGCACAUUCAUCUUCUGCUCAUCUAUCACUCCAGUGUUAAUGCUAAAUUGUAAUUAUUUCGCCACUAUGGCCCAUUUAUUGCCUUACCUCCCUAAUCUUACUACAUUUGCACACACUGUAUAUAUAUUUUUCUAUUGUGUUAUUGACUGUACGUUUGUUUAUCCCAUGUGAAACUCUGUGUUGUUUGUGUUGCACUGCUUUGCUUUAUCUUGGCCAGGUCGCAGUGGUAAAUGAGAACUUGUUCUCAACUGGCCUACCUGGUUAAUAAAGGUGAAAUAAAAAUAAAAUAAGAAAAAUAAUCUCAAAUUUGAACUCAUCAGACCAAGGACAGAUUUCCACUAGUCUAAUGUUCAUUGCUUGUGUUUCUUGACUCAAGCAAGUUUCUUCUUCUUAUUGGUGUCCUUUAGUAGUGGUUUCUUUGCAGCAAUUCGACCGUGAAGGCCUGAUUCCCGCAGUCUCCUCUUAACAGUUGAUGUUGAGAUGUCUGUUACUUGAACUUUGAAGCAUGUAGAUGGGCUGCAAUUUCUGAGGCUGGUAUCUAACUUACUCUGGUUCUUCCUUUCCUGUGGCGGCUCAUGAGAGCCAGUUUUUCAUAGCAGUUGAUGGUUUUUGCAACUGCACUUGAAGAAACUUUCCGCAUUGACUGACCUUUAUGUCUUAAAGUAAGGAUGGACUGUUGUUUCUCUUUCCUUAUUUGAGCUGUUCUUGCCAUAAUAUGGACUUGGUAUUUUACCAAAUAGGGCCAUCUGUACAUGACCCCUGCCUUGUCACAACACAAUUUAUUGGCUCGAACGCAUUCAGAAGGAAAGAAAUUCCACAAAUUAACAUUUAACAAGGCACACCUGUUAAUUGAAAUGCAUUCCAGGUGACUUCCUCAUGAAGCUGGUUGAGAGAAUGCCAAGACGGUGCAAAGCGGUCAUCAAGGCAAAGGGUGGCUACUUUUGAAGAAUCUCAAAUAAAAUAUUUUGAUUUGUGGUACACUUGUUUGGUUACUACAUGAUUCCAUGUGUUAUUUCAUAGUUUCAAUGUCUUCACUAUUAUUCUACAAUGUAGAAAAUAGUAAAAAUAAAGAAAACCCUUGAAUGAGUAGGUGUGUCCAAACUUUUGACUGGUUGUGCUUAAGACCGAUACAAUAAGACCACACAUUGGCAGAAUAAAAUUAACCACACAUUUUGUUUCAUCACAAAACGAGUCUUCAAAGCAUUUUGCAUGUAACAAACAGUUACAUGACCUACAGCAUGGUCAAACAAGUACAUUCUUCCGACAUUUUCAGACUACUAAACAAUUAUUGAUUUAGAACCACGGAAUUACUGCAAGUAGCAAAAGCAAGAGCUGCCUCCACUAUUUCAGCAACAUUUCAACAUCAAAUCACCUAUGCUAAUAAGUCUUAUACAGUGCCAACUGAAAGAUACCAAAAACAAUUUAGUCCAAUCAACAUAAGAUAAAUAUGCGUGUGCAUGCACGCAAAUAGAAAAAACAUGUUGACGAAAUGGUCUAUGACUGUCAUAUAUUUUUUGUCCUAGGCUACCUGGCUAAAGUGCUUGCUUGCUAUCCUAACUUCCUUUCAUGGGCACAAUGAGCCAACUUGUUAACAUUAGCCUACUACAUCUAGCUACAUAUUGAACUCCCAUCCUAUCAAGCCAGGGGCACAAUGUAUGAAUUUAUGGUUGGAUAAGAACUGUGUUUAUAAUCAUUGGCCAGUACGGAGAAUUAAGUAAAACCACGAUUCCAAAUCCCUAUCCCCAUCCAUGGCUAGUUUAGAAAAGGGCCAUUUUUAGAUAGCUAGUUAACCACCUGGGGACAACGAGAUUCAACAAUUCUCAUUUAUUUUCUGUCAAUGAUGUUUGGUAUUUUGACGUGAUUCGAUUGGUGAAGACAAAUCCAAACUGGUUUCCCAUUACACUUUAAUUUUUUUUGUGCACCAGGAUCAUUCAUACAUAGUUGAGCUCUCUCAGUUUAGCUCAACACUGAUUGGCUAUUAUUUUAUACUUUUUUUAUCAAGAGAGGCCAAAUGCUUGCUGGCUUGACUUGCAUUCAGUGCUAAGUGCGCAAAAAAUGUCACUAUUUUUGACCUGACAGCAUCAGAUAGGUGGCCUACACAUACUGAGUCAGAGGGGCGCUGUUUCGCUUGCUUGGAUGCUUUCACCGGUGAGACGUUCAGGUGAAAGAAAAUUAUGAAACAGACAAAAUAUUUAUUUUUUCUUGAUCAAUUUCUUGGGUGAACCUGGCUUUCUUUGGCAUCCAUGUCACUGAUUUUUCGAGGUAGGAAUAUCACAAAAAUAUAAUCAAUGUCUCAUUAUAGAAAAGACAUUGGCCUGUAUUGAAAUCUGACAUGUAUAAUGGAUAUUUUUGAGAUCUUAAAGUAAUCAUACUAUUAACUUGCAGAGUAGUGGGAGUGGCUUCAUCACAAUGCUACCUCAUGCCAGGUUUAUUCCGGCCUGCGUGAACGGGAAGAGCUUGUGAAACACAUGAAAACAUGAAAUUAUCCUAGGAAUCGAUAUGCCCAAAAACGAUAUAACAUUCCAAAUGGUUGAAUCUUUCUUUUAAUGCCUUUGCACUCUCAAAGGGAAAUGAUUAGCAUUCAGUUGGAGUGCAGUGAAAACAUGUCAAGGUUACGUGGAGAGAAUUAACGGUGCUUAGCUUGGAAAGCUGCGUCAAUGGAAAUAAAUUCAUUAGGCCCUAAUCUAUGGAUUUCACAUGAUUGGGGACACAGUUAAGCAACAGAUAAGUUCACAGAUACCUUAAAAAAAGGUAGGGGCGUGGAUAAGAAAACCAGUCAGUAUCUGGUGUGACUACCAUUUGGCUCGUACAGCGAGAUACAUCUUCACACAAAUUUGAUCAGGCUGUUGAUUGUGGCCUGUGGAAUGUUGUCCCACUCCUCUGCAAUGGCUGGGCGAAGUUGCUGGAUAUUGGCGGGAACUGGAUCACGCUGUCAUACACAUUGAUCGAGAGCAUCCCAAACAUGCUCAAUGGGUGACAUGGCUGGUAACUAUUCAGGCCCUCGAAGAACUGGGACAUUUUCAGCUUCCCGGAAUUGUGUACAGAUCCUUGCAAAAUGGAUUCAUGAAUUAUGCUGAAACAUGAGGUGAUGGCAGAGGAUGAAUGGCACUACAAUGGGCAUCCGCAUCUUGUCACGGUAUCUAUUGUGUUUGUUGUCCGUAGUUUAUGCCUGCCGGUUGAACGUACUGCCAAAUUAUCUAAAAUUACGUUGGAGGCGGCCUAUGGUAGAGAAAUGAACAUUAAAUCAUUUGCCAACAGCUCUGGUAGACAUCCCUGCAGUCAGCAUGCCAACUGUACGCCCCUCAACUUGAGACAUCUGUGGCAUUGUGUUGUGUGACACGACUGCACAUUUUAGACUGGUCUUUUAUUUUCCCCAGCACAAGGUGCACCUGUGUAAUGAUCAUGCCGUUUAAUCAGCUUCUUCAUAUGCCACACCUGUCAAGUGGAUAAAUUAUCUUGGCAAAGGAGGAAUGCUCACUAACAGGGAUGUAUACAAAUUUGUGCACAACAUUUGAUAGAAAUUAGCUUUUUGUGCGUAUGGAAAAUAUUUUAUUUAAUCUCAUGAAACAUGGGACCAAGUCUUUACAUGUUGUUUAUAUUUUUGUUCAGUGUAAGUCAAAACUGUAGCCAGGCCACCCAGGAAAUUUCAAUGUCAUCUUGGUAAGCAACCAAAUUGUUUAAAUUGAGAUUUUGUGUCACUGGCCUACACACAAUAUCCCAAAAUAUGAAAAUAAUGUGGAAUGUGGCUUGUUAUGGCAAGCCUAAAAAAAGUUCAGAAGUAAAUCUUUGCUUAACAAGUCACAUAAUAAGUUGCAUGGACUCACUCUGUGUACAAUAAUAGUGUUUAACAUGAUAUCUGAAUGAUUACCUCAUCUACAGUUGAAGUCGGAAGUUUACAUACACCUUAGCCAAAUACAUUUAAACUCAGUUUUUGACAAUUCCUGACAUUUAAUCCAAGUAAAAAUUCCCUGUUUUAGGUCAGUUAGGAUCACCUCUUCAUUUUAAGAAUGUGAAAUGUCAGAAUAAUAGUAUAGAGAAUGAUUUAUUUCAGCUUUUAUUUCUUUCAUCACAUUCCCAGUGGGUCAGAAGUUUACAUACACUCAAUUAGUAUUUGGUAGCAUUGCCUUUAAAUUGUUUACCUUGGGUCAAAUGUUUCGGGUAGCCUUCCACAAGCUUCCCCCAAUACGUUGGGUGAAUGUUGGCCCAUUCCUCCUGACAGAGCUGGUGUAACUGAGCUAGGUUUGUAGGCCUCCUUGCUCGCACACGCAUUUUCAGUUCUGCCGACAAAUUUUCUAUAGGAUUGAGGUCAGGGCUUUGUAAUGGCCACUCAAUACCUUGACUUUGUUGUCUUUAAGCCAUUUUGCCACAACUUUGGAAGUAUGCUUGGGGUCAUUGUCCAUUUGGAAGACCCAUUUGCAACCAAGCUGUAACUUCCUGACUGAUGUCUUGAGAUGUUGCUUCAAUAUAUCCACAUAAUUGUUUUUCCUCAUGAUGCCAUCUAUUUUGUGAAGUGCACCAGUCCCUCCUGCAGCAAAGCACUCCCACAUGAUGAUGCUGCCACCCCCGUGCUUCAUGGUUGGGAUGGUGUUCUUCGGCUUGCAAGCCUCCCCCUUUUUCCUCCAAACAUAACAAUGGUCAUUAUGGCCAUACAGUUCUAUUUUUGUUUCAUCAGACCAGAGGACAUUUCUCCAAAAAGUACGAUCUUUGUCCCCAUGUGCAGUUGUAAACCGUAGUCUGUUUUUUUAUGGCGGUUUUGGAGCAGUGGCUUCUUCCUUGCUGAGCGGUCUUUCAGGUUAUGUUGAUAUAGGAUUCGUUUUACUGUGGAUAUAGAUACUUUUGUACCUAUUUCCUCCAGCAUCUUCACAAGGUCCUUUGCUGUUGUUCUGGGGUUGAUCUGCACCUUUCGUAACCAAAGUACGUUCAUCGCUAGGAAAAAGAACGCAUCUCCUUCUUGAGCAGUAUGACGGCUGCGUGGUCCCAUGGUCUUUAUACUUGCGUACUAUUGUUUGUACAGAUGAACGUGGUACCUUCAGGUGUUUGGAAAUUGCUCCCAAGGAUGAACCAGACUUGUGGAGGUCUACAAUUGUUUUUCUGUGGUCUUGGCUGAUUUCUUUUGAUUUUCCCAUGAUGUCAAGCAAAGAGGCACUGAGUUUGAAGGUACACCUCCUAUUGGCUCAAAUUGACUCAAAUGAAGUCAAUUAGUCUAUCAGAAGCUUCUAUUGCCAUGGCAUAAUUUUCUGGAAUUUUCCAAGCUGUUUAAAGGAACAGUCAACUUAGUGCAUGUAAACUUCUGACCCACUGGAAUUGUGAUACAGUGAAUUAUAAGUGAAAUAAUCUGUCUGUUAACAAUUCUUGGAAAAAUGACUUGUGUCAUGCACAAAGUAGAUGUCCUAACCAACUUGCCAAAACUAUAGUUUGUUAACAAGAAAUUUGUGGAGUGGUUGAAAAACGAGUUUUAAUGACUCCAACCUAAGUGUAUGUAAACUUCCGACUUCAACUGUAGAGUUCCUCAGUCGAGCAGUGAGUUUCAAACACAGAUUCAACCACAAGACCAGGGAGGUCUUCCAAUGCCUCAGAAAGGGCAGCUAAAAAAAUGAAUGCAGACAUUUAAUAUCCCUUUUGAGCAUGGUGAAGUUAAUAAUUACACUUUGGAUGGUGGAUCAAUACACCCAGUCACUACAAAGAUGCAGGUGUCCUUCCUAACUCAGUUGCUGAAGAGGAAGGAAACCGCUCUGGGAUUUCAUCAUGAGGCCAAUGAGGACCUUAGAAAAGUUAGAGUCAAAUUGGCUGUGAUAUGACAAAAUGGAUGAUGGAUCAACAAAUUUGUAAUUUCUAAACUAUACUAACCGAAUUGACAGCCUGAAAAGGAAGCCUGUACAGAAUAAAAAUAUUCCAAAACAUGCAUCUUGUUUGCAAUAGGGCACUAAAGUAAAAAUGCAAAAAAUGUGGCAAAGCAAUUCAUUUUAUGUUCUGAAUACAAAACCUUAUGUUUGGGUAAAAUCACUGAGUACAACUUUUCAUAUUUCCAAGCAUGGUGGUGGCUUCAUCAUGUUAUGGGUAUGCUUGUCAUCGGCAAGCUUUUUUUAAUAUAUAUAAAUCGAGGUAAACAGGUAAAAUCCUAGAGGAAAACCUGGUUGUGUGCUUUCCAACAGACACUGGGAGACAUUCACUUUUCAUUAGGACAAUAACCUAAACACAAGGCCAAAUGUACACUGUACACUGGAAUUGAAUGUUACUGACUGGCCUAAUUACAGUUUUGACUUAAAUCGGCUUGAAAAUCUACGGCAAGACUUAAAUGGCUGUCUAUCAAUUUAUAAACAACCAACUUGACAGAACUUGAAGAAUGUUAAAAAUAAUAUUGUACAAUCCUGGUGUGCAAAGCUCUUAGAGACUUACCCAGAAAGACCCACAGCUGUAAUCGUUGCCAACGGUAAUUGUAACAUGAAUGGAGUCAGGGGUAUUGAAUGCUUAUGUAAAUGAGAUAUUUCUGUUUUUCAUUUUCAAUAAAUUUGCAAAACAUGUCAACUA
Molecule: RNA transcript, 12347 nt
Organism: Salvelinus fontinalis (brook trout)
Lineage: Eukaryota; Metazoa; Chordata; Actinopteri; Salmoniformes; Salmonidae
Gene name: kelch-like protein 25
Exons: 5
Source: RefSeq, a predicted model, not a curated record